Meriones unguiculatus (Mongolian gerbil) is the source of this 2158-nucleotide long non-coding RNA. RefSeq lists it as uncharacterized. The record is from RefSeq and is a predicted model, not a curated record. Lineage: Eukaryota; Metazoa; Chordata; Mammalia; Rodentia; Muridae. The transcript has 2 exons.
GGCAGAUGCGCUGCGCUUGCAGCCGGGCGGCGAAGCCGGGCUCCAGCGCAGGCUCCAGGGCGGUGCGCGCCUCCUGCAAGGGGAGAGGCCGGGGAGAUCUACGUAUCUACGUAUGAGUGCUCUGUCUGCAUGUACACCUGUAUGCCAGAAGAGGGCACCACAUCACAUUAUAGAUGGUUGGGAGCCACCACCUACGAGGUGGUUGCCGGAAUCCAGACUUCUGGAAGAGCAGCCAGUGCUUUUAACCACGGAGCCAUCUCUGCAGCCCCUCUUUUUUGUUUUUGUUUUUGUUUUUGUUUUUGACAGGGUUUCUCUGUGUGACCUUGGCUGUCCUGGAACUCACUAUGCAGACCAGGCUGACCUCGAACUCAGAGAUCCGCCUAUCUCUGCCUCCCAAGUGCUGGGAUUACAGGCGAGAGCCACCACAGCCCAGCAUCUACUGAUUUUUUUCCAAUGAUUUCUUUUAUUUUUAAAUUAUGUGUUGGGGGUUGUAUAUUUAGUAGUGCAGGUGCCCACAGAGGCCAGAAGGGGUCAUCUGAUAGCCCGGAGCUGGAGUUACGGUAGAUGUGAGGGGCUAGAAGUGGGUGCUGAGAAUUCACCAAGGUCCUCUAGAAGAGUGGUGUGCGUGCCUGACGGCUGGGCCAUCCUUGCCAGUGUCACGUAGUUACUAAUUGUGGAGCUGGGAUUAGUACUUCAGCAGCUAAACUCUAGAGUCCACCCUCUUUUUUUGGUGGGGGGGUUAAUUUUUUUAUAUUAAUCACAGGUUGAGUCCACCCUCUUAGCCAUUUAGUUGUUAUGUAACAUUAAACCACACAUGGUAACAGAUAAUACUAGUCUCUUCAUUAAAUGUUGAUGCUGACACCUGAUACAGAAGCGGAAGGUAAGAGGCUCAAAAUGGCCCCGUGGUAAGAGCAUGCCCUACUCCAGGGAAUCCGAUGCCCUUUCUGGCCUCCAAGGGCACCUGCGGUCACAUGACCAUAGCCCCUACAUGGACACACACAAGCACAUAAUUAAUUAUCUUUUUAAUUAACAAAAGGAAGUAUGACCUGGAGAAGACAGGAGCUCCACAAGGACCAAAUAUAUCUGGGCACAGGGGUCUUUUAUGAGACUGUUUCUCCAACCAAGGACCAGGUGUGGAUAUAACCUAGAACCCCUGCUCGGAUGUAGCCCAUGGUAGCUCAGUAUCCAAGUGGAUACCCUAGUAAGAGGAACAAGUACUAUUUCUGACAUGAACUCAAUGGCUGGCUCUUUGACCUUCCUCCACCGGAGGGAAGAGCAGCCCUGCUAGGCCACAGAGGAGGACAUUGCAGCCAAGCCUGAAGAUACCUGAUAAGCGAGGGUCAGAUGAAAGGGGAGGAGGACCUCCCUUCUCAGUGGACUUGGAAAGGGGUAGGGAGAAGAAAAGGGAGGGAUGGUGGGAAUGAGAGGGAAUGAGGGAGCAGGAUACAGCUGGGAUAUAAAGUUAAUAAACGGUAACUAAUAUUAAAAAAAUAAAAAUUAAAAAAAGGAGGGCUGGGCAUGGUGACCCUUAAUCCCAGCACUUGGGAGGCAGCAGCAGGCAGACCUCUGAGUUCGAAGCCUUCCUGGUCUAUAGAGUGAAUUCCAGGAGAGUCAGAGCUACUCUGAGAAGCCUCAUCCUGAAAACCCAAAAUAAGAGCUGGAGAGAGUUCAUUUCCCAGCCCCUACAUGGCGGCUCACAGCGAAGGUGGCAUUCAGUGUUCUCUUCUGAUGUGUGUUCUCUUCUCUAUAUGCAGAUAGAGUACUCAUAUACAUAAAAAUAAAGAAAUCUUUUAAAAAACCCAAAAUAGAUAAGCAAAUAAUUAACUAAAUAAUAAGAUGGGGUCGGGCAUGGUGGUACACUCCUUUAAUCCCAGCACUCAGGGAAGCAGAGGCAGGCAGAUCUCUGUGAGUUCAAGCCCAGCCUGGUCUACAUAGUGAGUUCCAGGACAGCCAAGGCUUAGAGAGACCCUGUCUCCCCCUCAGCCCCUCAAAAACAUAGAAAACUUAUUUGUGGUGUGGGUGUUUGAAGCCAGGGCCCGUGCUUGCUGGACAGACACUCUACCCCUGAGCUCUUGAAGUCUAUAAAUUUGUAGCAGUGUGGCUUAACACAAAAUGACUACACAAGGGACUCAACGGGAAAUAAACCCUGAGACUUACA